AGAGUUUGAUUAUGGCUCAGGAUGAACGCUGGCGGCGUGCUUAACACAUGCAAGUCGAACGGAGUUUUAACGGAAGUUUCGGAUGGAAGUUUAGAAACUUAGUGGCGGACGGGUGAGUAACGCGUGGGUAACCUGCCUCAUACAGGGGGAUAACAGUUAGAAAUGACUGCUAACACCGCAUAAUAUAGCGAAACCGCAUGAUUUUGCUAUCAAAUAUUUAUAGGUAUGAGAUGGGCCCGCGUCUGAUUAGCUAGUUGGUGGGGUAAAAGCCUACCAAGGCGACGAUCAGUAGCCGGCUUGAGAGAGUGACCGGCCACAUUGGGACUGAGACACGGCCCAAACUCCUACGGGAGGCAGCAGUGGGGAAUAUUGGACAAUGGGGGAAACCCUGAUCCAGCGAACCGCCGCGUGAGUGAAGAAGUAUUUCGGUAUGUAAAGCUCUAUCAGCAGGGAAGAUAAUGACAGUACCUGACUAAGAAGCCCCGGCUAACUACGUGCCAGCCGCUGC
RNAcentral lists this ribosomal RNA (508 nucleotides) under uncultured bacterium. RNAcentral's name for it is "bacterial SSU rRNA". It matches the Rfam family "Bacterial small subunit ribosomal RNA", at positions 8 to 518 of the family's 1533-position model. The record is from RNAcentral.